Molecule: ribosomal RNA, 429 nt
Filed under: Bacteroidota bacterium
Lineage: Bacteria; Pseudomonadati; Bacteroidota
Description: Bacteroidetes bacterium partial 16S ribosomal RNA
Rfam family: Bacterial small subunit ribosomal RNA
Source: RNAcentral
UAGGGAAUCUUCGGCAAUGGGGGGAACCCUGACCGAGCAACGCCGCGUGAGUGAAGAAGGUUUUCGGAUCGUAAAGCACUGUUGUUAAGGAAGAACGAGUGUGAGAAUGGAAAGUUCAUGCUGUGACGGUACUUAACCAGAAAGGGACGGCUAACUACGUGCCAGCAGCCGCGGUAAUACGUAGGUCCCGAGCGUUGUCCGGAUUUAUUGGGCGUAAAGCGAGCGCAGGAGGUUAGAAAAGUCUGAAGUGAAAGGCAGUAGCUCAACCAUUGUAGGCUUUGGAAACUGUUUAACUUGAGUGCAGAAGGAGAGAGUGGAAUUCCGUGUGGAGCGGUGAAAUGCGUAGAUAUAUGGAGGAACACCGGUGGCGAAAGCGGCUCUCUGGUCUGUAACUGACGCUGGGGCUAGAGAGCGUGGGGAACAAACAGG